This 483-nucleotide ribosomal RNA is filed under the name uncultured bacterium. RNAcentral describes it as "partial 16S ribosomal RNA". It matches the Rfam family "Bacterial small subunit ribosomal RNA", at positions 29 to 507 of the family's 1533-position model. The record is from RNAcentral.
UUGAACGCUGGCGGCAUGCUUUACCCAUGCAAGUCGAACGGCAGCGCGGGCUUCGGCCUGGCGGCGAGUGGCGAACGGGUGAGUAAUGCAUCGGAACGUGCCCAGUAGUGGGGGAUAGCCCGGCGAAAGCCGGAUUAAUACCGCAUACGACCUGAGGGUGAAAGCGGGGGACCGAAAGGCCUCGCGCUAUUGGAGCGGCCGAUGUCGGAUUAGCUAGUUGGUGGGGUAAAGGCUUACCAAGGCGACGAUCCGUAGCUGGUCUGAGAGGACGACCAGCCACACUGGGACUGAGACACGGCCCAGACUCCUACGGGAGGCAGCAGUGGGGAAUUUUGGACAAUGGGGGCAACCCUGAUCCAGCCAUGCCGCGUGCGGGAAGAAGGCCUUCGGGUUGUAAACCGCUUUUGUUCGGGAAGAAAUCCUCUGGGCUAAUACCCCGGGGGUAUGACGGUACCGGAAGAAUAAGCACCGGCUAACUACGUG